Molecule: transfer RNA, 66 nt
Filed under: Echinosorex gymnura
Lineage: Eukaryota; Metazoa; Chordata; Mammalia; Eulipotyphla; Erinaceidae
Description: tRNA-Trp
Source: RNAcentral
AGAAGUUUAGGUUAAAUAGACCAAGAGCCUUCAAAGCCCUAAGUAGAUUAAUUUAUCUAACUUCUG